AACGGUCUAUACCUGCGGUACCUGCGGAGGGAUCAUUACCGAGUGAGGGCCCUCUGGGUCCAACCUCCCACCCGUGUUUAUCGUACCUUGUUGCUUCGGCGGGCCCGCCGCAAGGCCGCCGGGGGGCUUCCGCCCCCGGGCCCGCGCCCGCCGAAGACACCUGUGAACGCUGUAUGAAGAUUGCAGUCUGAGCGAAAAGCUAAAUUUAUUAAAACUUUUAGCAACGGAUCUCUAGAUCGG
This 240-nucleotide unclassified non-coding RNA is filed under the name soil metagenome. RNAcentral's name for it is "partial contains 5.8S ribosomal RNA, internal transcribed spacer 2, and large subunit ribosomal RNA". The record is from RNAcentral.